RNAcentral lists this ribosomal RNA (468 nucleotides) under uncultured bacterium. RNAcentral describes it as "partial 16S ribosomal RNA". It matches the Rfam family "Bacterial small subunit ribosomal RNA", at positions 28 to 507 of the family's 1533-position model. The record is from RNAcentral.
GACGAACGCUGGCGGCGUGCUUAACACAUGCAAGUCGAACGGAAAGGCCCUGCUUUUGUGGGGUGCUCGAGUGGCGAACGGGUGAGUAACACGUGAGUAACCUGCCCUUGACUUUGGGAUAACUUCAGGAAACUGGGGCUAAUACCGGAUAGGAGUUCCUGCUGCAUGGUGGGGGUUGGAAAGUUUCGGCGGUUGGGGAUGGACUCGCGGCUUAUCAGCUUGUUGGUGGGGUAGUGGCUUACCAAGGCUUUGACGGGUAGCCGGCCUGAGAGGGUGACCGGCCACAUUGGGACUGAGAUACGGCCCAGACUCCUACGGGAGGCAGCGGUGGGGAAUAUUGCACAAUGGGCGGAAGCCUGAUGCAGCAACGCCGCGUGCGGGAUGACGGCCUUCGGGUUGUAAACCGCUUUCGCCUGUGACGAAGCGUGAGUGACGGUAAUGGGUAAAGAAGCACCGGCUAACUACGUG